GAUGAACGCUGGCGGCGUGCCUAAUACAUGCAAGUCGAACGGGGUGUUUGAGCAAUCGGACACUUAGUGGCGAACGGGUGAGUAACGCGUUGGUGACCUGCCCCAAAGCGGGGGAUAACAGCCUGAAAGGGUUGCUAAUACCGCAUAUGAUGAUGAGAGACUAGAAACUUAUCAUUAAAGGAGAAAUCCACUUUGGGAGGGGCCUGCGUCCCAUCAGCUAGUUGGUAGGGUAAAAGCCUACCAAGGCGAAGACGGGUAGGGGACCUGAGAGGGUGACCCCCCACAAUGGAACUGAAACACGGUCCAUACACCUACGGGUGGCAGCAGUAGGGGAUAUUGCACAAUGGGCGGAAGCCUGAUGCAGCAACGCCGCGUGAGUGAUGAAGGCCCUCGGGUCGUAAAACUCUUUUCAAGAGGAAGAGGAAGGACGGUACUCUUGGAAUAAGCCUCGGCUAACUACGUG
RNAcentral lists this ribosomal RNA (463 nucleotides) under uncultured bacterium. RNAcentral's name for it is "bacterial SSU rRNA". It matches the Rfam family "Bacterial small subunit ribosomal RNA", at positions 28 to 507 of the family's 1533-position model. The record is from RNAcentral.